CCUACGGGAGGCUGCAGUAGGGAAUUUUCCACAAUGGGCGAAAGCCUGAUGGAGCAACGCCGCGUGGGUGAAGAAGGUCUUCGGAUCGUAAAACCCUGUUGUUAGAGAAGAAAGUGCGUGAGAGUAACUGUUCACGUUUCGACGGUAUCUAACCAGAAAGCCACGGCUAACUACGUGCCAGCAGCCGCGGUAAUACGUAGGUGGCAAGCGUUAUCCGGAUUGAUUGGGCGUAAAGGGAACGCAGGCGGUCUUUUAAGUCUGAUGUGAAAGCCUUCGGCUUAACCGGAGUAGUGCAUUGGAAACUGGGAGACUUGAGUGCAGAAGAGGAGAGUGGAACUCCAUGUGUAGCGGUGAAAUGCGUAGAUAUAUGGAAGAACACCAGUGGCGAAAGCGGCUCUCUGGUCUGUAACUGACGCUGAGGUUCGAAAGCGUGGGUAGCAAACAGGAUUAGAUACCCCAGUAGUC
Molecule: ribosomal RNA, 465 nt
Filed under: uncultured bacterium
Lineage: Bacteria
Description: partial 16S ribosomal RNA
Rfam family: Bacterial small subunit ribosomal RNA
Source: RNAcentral